ACGGAGGGUGCGAGCGUUGUCCGGAAUCACUGGGCGUAAAGGGCGCGUAGGUGGCGCUGCAAGUCGGUGGUGAAAGCUCGUCGCUUAACGACGAGUCGGCCAUCGAAACUGCAGGGCUUGAGCACUGUAGGGGCUAAUGGAAUUCCGGGUGUAGCGGUGGAAUGCGUAGAGAUCCGGAAGAACACCAGUGGCGAAGGCGGUUAGCUGGGCAGUUGCUGACACUGAUGCGCGACAGCGUGGGGAGCAAACAGGA
Molecule: ribosomal RNA, 253 nt
Filed under: uncultured prokaryote
Description: partial 16S ribosomal RNA
Rfam family: Bacterial small subunit ribosomal RNA
Source: RNAcentral